UUCUUAUCCAGAGUGGUGGAGGGACUGGCCCAAUGAAACCCGGCAACCGAUUUGUAUGAUACGGUGCUAAUUCCAGCAGAACAAUUUGUUCUGAAAGAUAAGAA
RNAcentral lists this non-coding RNA (104 nucleotides) under Tepidibacillus decaturensis. Its description in RNAcentral is "SAM riboswitch aptamer (S box leader)". It matches the Rfam family "SAM riboswitch aptamer (S box leader)". From Rfam's summary of the family: The SAM riboswitch is found upstream of a number of genes which code for proteins involved in methionine or cysteine biosynthesis in Gram-positive bacteria. Lineage: Bacteria; Bacillati; Bacillota; Bacilli; Caryophanales; Bacillaceae. The record is from Rfam by way of RNAcentral. RNAcentral also lists the same sequence under 2 other names.